This is an unclassified non-coding RNA of Callithrix jacchus (white-tufted-ear marmoset), 299 nucleotides long. It matches the Rfam family "Metazoan signal recognition particle RNA". From Rfam's summary of the family: The signal recognition particle (SRP) is a universally conserved ribonucleoprotein. The record is from Ensembl. Lineage: Eukaryota; Metazoa; Chordata; Mammalia; Primates; Cebidae.
GCCGGAUGUGGUGGUGCGUCCCUGUAGUCCCAGCUACUCAGGAGGCUGAGGCUGGAGGAUUGCUUGAGUCCAGGAGUUCUGGGCUGUAGUGGGCUAUGCUGAUCAGGUGUCCACACUAAGUUCAGCAUCAAUAUGGUGACCUUCCGGGAGUUGGGGACCACCAGGUUACCUAAGGAGGGGUGAACCAUCCAAGUAGGAAAUGGAGCAGGUCAAAACUCCCGUGCUGAUCAGUAGUGGGAUCACGCCUGUGAAUAGCCACUGCACUCCAGCCUGGGCAACAUAGUGAGACCCCAUCACUU